This 507-nucleotide ribosomal RNA is filed under the name Triticum aestivum (bread wheat). RNAcentral describes it as "partial small subunit ribosomal RNA". The record is from RNAcentral. Lineage: Eukaryota; Viridiplantae; Streptophyta; Magnoliopsida; Poales; Poaceae.
AUGCAAAAUGGACGUAUCAACGACUUUUAUAAAGUCCUAUUUUCUACCUCCCCUCGGGGAGGAGCUGCUCUUGCCCUGGAUAUUUGGCAUGAGCACAACCGCAUCUCGGAUGCGGUUAAUGUUGCCCUUACAACCCCCUUCGAUGAGGAGGAGGUUUUGACCACCAUCAAGGGCAUGAACCCCUCGUCCGCCCCCAGGUCGGACGGCCUCCCGGUUAAGUUCUUCCAGACGUUCUGGACGGUCAUUAAACCGGAGGUGAUGGCGCUAUUUCAGGAGUUCUACAUUGGGGCGAUUGACUUGGCCUGCCUGAACUAUGGGAGCAUCACCCUCAUCCCAAAGGUAGCCGGGGCCUUGGACAUCCGCCAGUUUCACCCCAUUACGGUGAUCAAUGUGAUCUUCCGUAUACUGGCGAAGGGGUAUGAUACGUCUCUGUCGUAUCUAUUAAUUUUUGAUUGUUUCAUGCCAUAUUAUACAAGUUUUACAUACUUUUGGCAACUUUUUAUAUGA